This 27-nucleotide small RNA is filed under the name Bombyx mori (domestic silkworm). RNAcentral's name for it is "ovarian small RNA-16948". The record is from RNAcentral. Lineage: Eukaryota; Metazoa; Arthropoda; Insecta; Lepidoptera; Bombycidae.
GCGGCUAGGAUCGACGGGAUCGUCAAA